CUUUGUAUCGCUUUUCAAGGUAACGGAAGCGUUUCAAAAGGGAAUGCCGUGAAAAUCGGCAACAGUACCCGCUGCUGUGAUUCUUUAAAAGCCCAGACAAGGCCAUGCCAGCCACUGUAAAUAACCAUUUAUGGGAAGGCGUUUGGGGAAGAGAUCAGUCAGAAGACCUGCCGGAAAAAGCAAAUGACA
RNAcentral lists this non-coding RNA (189 nucleotides) under Phocaeicola coprophilus. RNAcentral also lists the same sequence under 1 other name. Lineage: Bacteria; Pseudomonadati; Bacteroidota; Bacteroidia; Bacteroidales; Bacteroidaceae. The record is from RNAcentral.